UCAAAGACCGGGGCUUAACUUCGGAAAGGCAGUGGAAACUGAACAGCUAGAGUAUGGUAGGGGCAGAGGGAAUUCCUGGUGUAGCGGUGAAAUGCGUAGAGAUCAGGAAGAACAUCGGUGGCGAAGGCGCUCUGCUGGACCAUAACUGACACUCAGGGACGAAAGCUAGGGGAGCGAAUGGGAUUAGAUACCCCAGUAGUCCUAGCCGUAAACGAUGGAUACUAGGUGUCGACGCGG
RNAcentral lists this ribosomal RNA (237 nucleotides) under uncultured cyanobacterium. RNAcentral's name for it is "partial 16S ribosomal RNA". It matches the Rfam family "Bacterial small subunit ribosomal RNA", at positions 595 to 831 of the family's 1533-position model. Lineage: Bacteria; Bacillati; Cyanobacteriota. The record is from RNAcentral.